This 253-nucleotide ribosomal RNA is filed under the name uncultured archaeon. RNAcentral describes it as "partial 16S ribosomal RNA". It matches the Rfam family "Archaeal small subunit ribosomal RNA", at positions 474 to 726 of the family's 1478-position model. The record is from RNAcentral.
UCCCAGCGGUCCAAGUCGCAGCCACAAUUAUUGGGUCUAAAACAUCCGUAGCUUGCUUUGUAAGUCUCUUGUGAAAUCUGGCCUCUUAAGGGUCGGUCGGGCAAGAGAUACUGCGAAGCUAGAGACCGGGAGGCGCAUGAAGUACACAUAGGGUAGCGGUAAAAUGCGUUGAUCCUUUGUGGACUAACAAUCGCGAAGGCAUCGUGCGAGAACGGUUCUGACAGUGAGGGAUGAAGGCUAGGGGCGCAAAGUG